AUCCUUUUGUAAUUCAUAAGCAUGAUUUGGGUGUUUAUACUUAGAUUUGAGAUAUGCCUUCCUCUAAACUUAGGAUGUUGGCACACUACCCAUCUGAUA
Macaca fascicularis (crab-eating macaque) is the source of this 99-nucleotide small nucleolar RNA. Lineage: Eukaryota; Metazoa; Chordata; Mammalia; Primates; Cercopithecidae. The record is from Ensembl.